UGAAGCGUGGUAGAUGGAACCCAGUUGUCUGUGAUUUAAAACCAAGGGGAACCUUAUGAUUCAGGGUUUGGGAUUUUUUUUCCUUCUUCCUUCUCCCCCAGGAGGACUCACCAGGCCCCACAUGUGUGUCUGCUUCAGAAACCACCUGUCCAUAAGUGCUAGCCCAGAACUGAGAGAAGGCUACUGCGUGAGGACAAAUUCAGGCACUGAUGGGUAAUGCCUAGAGAUUUUCCUCCUCCCUGCAGUCUCCACACCCCGGCUCCCUGCUCCCAAGCUGGAGAGGUCUGUUGGAGUCAACAGCAUGUGGAAAGUUCUGGAUCCUCCAAAGCAACCAGCGUGUUCCUUGGGAAGGGACAUUCCCCAAAUUGUUUGCUUCCCUUUACAAAACGCCAACAAGCCCCGCACCACCAGGUUUGCAUCUGUCCGUGAGCAGUGUUGAUCAAAGGCACAUGUUUGACUUGCACCAAAAUAACUCAAGUCCCCCAGGCAGCCGCUCCUGCUCUCCCCACCCCCAAUGGAGUUUGAGACGAAGUCUGUAAUCACAGUCCACAGCAUUUCGGAAACCACCUCCCCAUCUUGCUUCCUCCCAGCUGAUUUCCAGGGGAACAGAAGGAGACUGUUCGCUACCAGGGAGGAAGUCCAGGCCUAAGUGAGCAGCUUUCUAAGAGGCACCUACCAGAACAAGGCAUGUACUGCCGGGUAGUCCCUGCCAAGUGAGGUCGCUGUGCUGCAGAAGCAUGGAUGAAGAGACUCCGGAGGAGGAGGUUAGAAGAGGCAGCCAGGACAAGAGCUAAGAAGAGUUAGGAGUUAAGGGCAGUUCUUACAGUGGGCUGGAAAAAAAGGGUGUGUCUAUGGGGUGGGGGGUGUCUACUAUCACUCACACAUCAGCCCAUCUCCCCUACCCAGCAAUUAAUUCACCCCACAACCCCCAAAUCAAUUCUGCCCCCUGCCUCCAUCAUUCUGCCCUCACAUCAGUUCUUGCCCCUUCCUCCAGCCUCCCCUCUGUUCCUCCUGCAGCUAAGGAGACCUUCAUCCUCCUCUCCCCUUCCCAGGCUUAGUGUUGCAAGGAGGAAUGUGGGGUGGGAGGGCACAGAGCAGAGGAGGAGUGGGGAGAGAGGGGAGCAGCUGGGGCCUUUCUGCUCCCCCCCUCAACUCUUUUGAGAAUGGUGAGGGUUCCUGCGGGGCGGGGGAAGAGGUCUGCCUGCUGACCCUAGCUGCAGCCCUGAUCAGUGAUUGGCUGCUCUUCACCAGGAAGUGAGUAACAUGGGGAAAGCAUCCAAUCAGGUUUUUUU
Molecule: long non-coding RNA, 1292 nt
Filed under: Chrysemys picta bellii (western painted turtle)
Lineage: Eukaryota; Metazoa; Chordata; Testudines; Emydidae
Description: lncRNA (ENSCPBG00000000423.1)
Source: RNAcentral